UUGGUCGGGGCGGAACGGCCCACCAAGGCGACGAUGUCUAGGGGUUCUGAGAGGAAGGUCCCCCACACUGGUACUGAGACACGGACCAGACUCCUACGGAAGGCAGCAG
This 109-nucleotide ribosomal RNA is filed under the name uncultured bacterium. Its description in RNAcentral is "partial 16S ribosomal RNA". It matches the Rfam family "Bacterial small subunit ribosomal RNA", at positions 249 to 354 of the family's 1533-position model. The record is from RNAcentral.